AGCAGCCGCGGUAAUUCCAGCUCCAAUAGCGUAUAUUAAAGUUGUUGCAGUUAAAAAGCUCGUAGUUGAAUUUCGGGAUCAAUAUGUAGGUCGUGCCUCGGUACGUACUUGCAUCAUUGAUUUCUCCCUUCUGAUGAACCAUGAUGCCAUUAGUUUGGUGUUAUGGGGAAUCAGGACUGUUACUUUGAAAAAAUUAGAGUGUUUAAAGCAGGCUCACGCUUGAAUACAUUAGCAUGGAAUACGAAAUAGGACGUUCGAUCCUAUUUUGUUGGUUUCUAGGAUUGACGUAAUGAUUAAUAGGGAUAGUUGGGGGCAUUAGUAUUCAAUUGUCAGAGGUGAAAUUCUUGGAUUUAUUGAAGACUAACUACUGCGAAAGCAUUUGCCAAGGUAUGUUUUCAUUAAUCGAGAA
RNAcentral lists this ribosomal RNA (409 nucleotides) under uncultured Glomeromycotina. RNAcentral's name for it is "SSU rRNA". It matches the Rfam family "Eukaryotic small subunit ribosomal RNA", at positions 569 to 983 of the family's 1831-position model. Lineage: Eukaryota; Fungi; Glomeromycota. The record is from RNAcentral.